RNAcentral lists this ribosomal RNA (323 nucleotides) under uncultured Assulina. Its description in RNAcentral is "SSU rRNA". The stretch from base 108 to 323 matches the Rfam family "Eukaryotic small subunit ribosomal RNA", at positions 738 to 955 of the family's 1831-position model. The record is from RNAcentral. Lineage: Eukaryota; Cercozoa; Imbricatea; Euglyphida; Euglyphidae.
GAUUUCUGGCGAACCGGCACAACCCGGUACCGUAUGGUGCUGAGUGCUGUGUCGUGUUUGUCAUCCUUCCGGAAAGCUGCGUCUACCAUUCAGUUGGCCGGACGUACGUGAUCCGGAUCUAUUACUUUGAAAAAAUUAGAGUGUUUAAAGCAGGCUUAUGCUGUGAAUACAUUAGCAUGGAAUAAUAAUUUAGGACUUCGGUCCUAUUUUGUUGGUUUCUAGGACAGAAGUAAUGAUUGAUAGGGACAGUUGGGGGUGCUAGUAUUCCGCGGCCAGAGGUGAAAUUCUUGGAUUCGCGGAAGACUAACUACUGCGAAAGCAUU